This 1333-nucleotide ribosomal RNA is filed under the name uncultured bacterium. Its description in RNAcentral is "bacterial SSU rRNA". It matches the Rfam family "Bacterial small subunit ribosomal RNA", at positions 28 to 1381 of the family's 1533-position model. The record is from RNAcentral.
GACGAACGCUGGCGGCGCGCCUAACACAUGCAAGUCGAACGAGCGAGAGAGAGCUUGCUUUCUCGAGCGAGUGGCGAACGGGUGAGUAACGCGUGAGGAACCUGCCUCAAAGAGGGGGACAACAGUUGGAAACGACUGCUAAUACCGCAUAAGCCCACGACCCGGCAUCGGGUUGAGGGAAAAGGAGCAAUCCGCUUUGAGAUGGCCUCGCGUCCGAUUAGCUAGUUGGUGAGGUAACGGCCCACCAAGGCGACGAUCGGUAGCCGGACUGAGAGGUUGAACAGCCACAUUGGGACUGAGACACGGCCCAGACUCCUACGGGAGGCAGCAGUGGGGAAUAUUGCACAAUGGGGGAAACCCUGAUGCAGCGACGCCGCGUGGAGGAAGAAGGUCUUCGGAUUGUAAACUCCUGUUGUUGAGGAAGAUAAUGACGGUACUCAACAAGGAAGUGACGGCUAACUACGUGCCAGCAGCCGCGGUAAAACGUAGGUCACAAGCGUUGUCCGGAAUUACUGGGUGUAAAGGGAGCGCAGGCGGGAAGACAAGUUGGAAGUGAAAUCUAUGGGCUCAACCCCAUAAACUGCUUUCAAAACUGUUUUUCUUGAGUAGUGCAGAGGUAGGCGGAAUUCCCGGUGUAGCGGUGGAAUGCGUAGAUAUCGGGAGGAACACCAGUGGCGAAGGCGGCCUACUGGGCACCAACUGACGCUGAGGCUCGAAAGUGUGGGUAGCAAACAGGAUUAGAUACCCUGGUAGUCCACACCGUAAACGAUGAUUACUAGGUGUUGGAGGAUUGACCCCUUCAGUGCCGCAGUUAACACAAUAAGUAAUCCACCUGGGGAGUACGACCGCAAGGUUGAAACUCAAAGGAAUUGACGGGGGCCCGCACAAGCAGUGGAGUAUGUGGUUUAAUUCGACGCAACGCGAAGAACCUUACCAAGUCUUGACAUCCCUUGACGAACAUAGAAAUAUGUUUUCUCUUCGGAGCAAGGAGACAGGUGGUGCAUGGUUGUCGUCAGCUCGUGUCGUGAGAUGUUGGGUUAAGUCCCGCAACGAGCGCAACCCUUACUGUCAGUUACUACGCAAGAGGACUCUGGCAGGACUGCCGUUGACAAAACGGAGGAAGGUGGGGAUGACGUCAAAUCAUCAUGCCCUUUAUGACUUGGGCUACACACGUACUACAAUGGCGUUAAACAAAGAGAAGCAAGACCGCGAGGUGGAGCAAAACUCAGAAACAACGUCCCAGUUCGGACUGCAGGCUGCAACUCGCCUGCACGAAGUCGGAAUUGCUAGUAAUCGUGGAUCAGCAUGCCACGGUGAAUACGUUCCCGGGCCU